Long non-coding RNA from Hydra vulgaris (swiftwater hydra), 3239 nucleotides. RefSeq lists it as uncharacterized. NCBI's taxonomy places the organism in Eukaryota, Metazoa, Cnidaria, Hydrozoa, Anthoathecata, Hydridae. The record is from RefSeq and is a predicted model, not a curated record.
AAUGCUUUUGACAAAAGCAUUAUGAAAUGCUGAAUUUUUUAGUGAAAUGAAUAUUCUAUCAAAAGCUUAAGUUAAAGAGGCUAUGAUAAUUAGUUCACACAAAUAGUUCUUCAUACAGAUGGCACAAAAUACAAUUUUAAGGAGGUUGGUAGUUUUCAAGUAACAAUAUCAUCUGGUAGCUACACAUUAGGGAUAGAAGAUAUGUUUUUGGGCGAGGCACAUUCUUAUUUUGGUGAGCUAAAAAAUUUACUCACUGAUAUGGAUCAGUUAUUUUCUCCUGAAAAUGACAGCUACAAGAAUGAUCUUAAAAAGCUUAUUUUUUCCUUCAAAUCUUUGAUGACAGAUUGCACUGUUGCUAAUUUUAGUUUUUUUCACCAAUUUAAACAUUGGAGAGAAACAAUUUUGCCUUUUGUUGUUGAAAACUAUGAUCAGUUUUCUUUAAAUGAAAAAAUAAAAAAAAAUUUAAAUACAUCAUGUUUUUUGUGGUUUACAUGUUAUCCACAAUAUAGGGGUAUAUGCUGAAAAAGCAAUCAGGGAAUGGGAAAAAGUGGUUGAGGAGGAAGGCGGAAUUCGGUUUUGGUUUGGAGAAUGGUGGUUUUAAAAAUUCUCCAAACUCACAUACCUUUGACAUUUUGUAUGAACUUUCAAAACUUACAAGCUAUAAACAUCGUGAUCACCGUAAAAGGUUUUUAAAAAACUACAUUGUUUCAUUCCUGCAUCAUUUUUCAGGAUGAUCAUUAAUGUUGGUUAGAAACGGUAAAAAGCUGAGGAUAGAAGUUCACCUUCUUAGUUAAGUAUUGACACUAGAAUGAAUUUGCAGCGUUUAGUGCCACAGGUUAUCUGUGUUUUGUAAUUCUGAUGUUAUUGUUGUGAUGUUUUGUGUUGAUAGACAACUUGGCUUACCUUCUCGCUGGUGUCUAUCGUUAAAAAUGAUUAUUAGGUUGUUUUGUUACUUAAACUCUCUACCUCUAAUCAUUCACUAAAAGCCAAGAGAUAAGUUUUAGAAUAACAACAUUUUUUGUUUUAAUGUUGUUUUCACUUUUUUAUCUUAGAUGUUGUCAAUAGUUCACAUAAACAUCAUUUCAAAGAGUUGAGUUUCUGCUGUUACACCUGCUAUUGCUGUUGUAAGUACUCAAAGUUUUAGGAAGUUAUAUUGCUGUAAGUUAUUUUCAUUCAAAUCCAAAUUUCAACUUUAUUAAAGAAUCUUUUGUCUAGUAAAUAGGUAAUUCUGAAUGAUUUAAAUAUAUUUCAAUGCCCAUACUAACUUACUAAUUGUAAGUUAAGUAGUAGUUUUAAACAGAUAAAUUGGAUUUUACGAUCCUUUAUGCAUAUUUGCAUAGAGUUUUAUAAUAUGACCCAAAUUUUUUCUAAAAAACUAGGUAAAUAAGUAAAAACACUUCAGUCUGUAAAAUUAACAAUUCUGGAUAAUUUCGACAGAUGCAAAAAAAAUUAUGGCAUUUAAUUUUCUUAUAGUUUUGUAUUCCUAUCAAAAAUUUCAAGUCAAAUGUAAUAACAGUUGGAAAUUAUCAAAUAUUUUUAAAGUCAAAUAGGUUUGUGCAACAUAGAUUUGUCCAAUAGGUUGGUGCAACCCUUUUGUAGUAGUUUACUGACGGGUCUGUAAAUUAUGCAAUAAUUUCAAAUUGAGGUAUUUUUCAAAUUCCACGAUUCCUUUAUGAAUAUUUGCAUAUUGUAACCUUAAUUUUUGUUGUUCAUUACAUAAUUAAGUAAGUAAAAACACUUCAGUCUGUAAAAUAAAUGAUUCUGUAUGAUCUCAAUAGAUUCAAUAAAAACUGGAUCACUAUUUAAAAUUUCAAGUCAAAUGUAAUAACGUUUCAAAAAUAUCAAAUAUAUUUAAGGUCAAUAUGCCUAAUUGGUGUGUACAUCUAUUUACUAUAAUUUACUGAAUGGUCUGUAAUUUAUGCAAUAAAUUUACUGAUAGGUCUGUAAAUUAGGCAAUAGUUUUCAAAUGAUGUAUUUUUUGGAUUCCAUGAUUCCUUUAUGCAUAUUUGCAUAGUGCAACCCUAAUUUUUUUCUUCUUAACACAAAUAAGUAGAAACCUUACAAUCUGUAAAAUAAACAAUUCUGGAUAAUCCCGACAGAUUUAAUAAAAACUGGAUCACUAUUUAAAAUUUUAAGUCAAAUGUAAUAAUGGUGCAAAAAUAUCAAAAAUUAAAAAAAAAAUUACAAACUAUUUAAAGUUGAUAUGUUUAAAUUGUUUGAACAGCCCAUUUUCAGCAAUUUACUGACCGAACAGUAAUUUAUGUGAUUAUUUUACUGACCAGUCUGUAAAUUAAGCAGUUGUUUUCAAAUUAUGUAUUUUUUGGAUCCCAUGAUUCCUUUAUGCAUAUUUGCAUGGUAUAAUUAUAAUAUGACCCCAAAUUUUAUUCUCCAAAAAAAAGAAAAUAAUAUAAAAACCCUUUAGACUGUAAAAUAGAUGAUUCUGGACAAUGGCAACACAUUUUUUAAAAUAAAAUUUUGGUUUUUUAUUUUCUUGUAGUUCUUCGAUCACUAUGAAAAAUUUCAAGUCAAAUGUUCUAUCAGUUCAAAAGUUAUUCAAAAGUCAGUAUGACCUCAAAAACAUAAAUUAGUAAAAACUGUCGGUCUGGAAAAUAGAUGAUUCUAGUCAAUCCCGACAGAUUUAAAAAAAAAAUCUUUUGGAUUUUUACUUCCUUAUAGUUGGUUGGUCACUAUGAAAAAUUUCAAGUCAAAUGUAUUAUCGGUUCAAAAGUUAUUCAAAUGUCAAUAAUACUCUCAUUUUCGGUACCAUUUCGCAGGAAAUUUUCCAUACUUAAGCCCUAUACCUUUUGUCAAAAAAUCACCAGUUUUUUCACUACAAAAAGUUCAAUAACUUUUGAUCCGCUUAACUUCAAAGGUCAAAUGACCCCUCAUUUUUUAAGUCAAACUAAGCUCUAUACAAUGGCAUCAAUUAUAUUUGAAUAUUAAAUUUAUAAAAAAAUCGUGUGGACAUGCUACUUUUGUACUUAUUUAAGUGAAAUGUAAAUAUAUUUUUGUGAAAAUUAUAUUGAGAUAAAAUUAGAUACUCUGCUUUGGUCAGUUUUAUGAAUGUUUUAAUGACAAUGAUGAGGAUUCUUAAAGCUUGCUAAAGGUUAGGCAUAAGUAUUUAUUUAUUGCUCAAAAGAGUUUUUAACUUUAUCCAGAGUUGUUUGUUGCUUGGCCUUAGUUAAAUCACUCAUAUUGAGUAAUAACUUUAAGAUUUAGAGUUGACUCAAAAUGGAAAA